Molecule: long non-coding RNA, 1752 nt
Filed under: Mus musculus (house mouse)
Lineage: Eukaryota; Metazoa; Chordata; Mammalia; Rodentia; Muridae
Description: expressed sequence AU015791
Source: RNAcentral
GGCUGCACCCUCCUGUUCUGCUGCAUCAGAGAGGGUGAUAUAACCCAAGCUCACACUUGUAACUAAAGACCCUAGUGUGAUUGCAUCGGAGUCGGCUUCCUGGUGAUCUUUUGGGGUUCACGGACACCUUCUGGGACAGCAGCUCCUGUUCGGUUUGGCUUCCCUGUUACUUGGAUAAAACCCUGACCAGAAGCAACUUGGGGUUGGGUGUGGGGAGUGGCUGUUUUGUUUUGUUUUGUUUUGUUUUGUUUUGUUUUGUUUUUCUUCAUCUUACAGCUCCAAAUGGUAGUCAUCACUGAAGGAAGCCAAGACAGGAAUCUGGAGGCAGGACCUGAAGCAGAGGACCCUCAGCGGAGGUUCCUAUCCUGGGUAACAAGUGGACACCAACUAGACAGAAUAUUCCCCAGCCCUGCUGUGACGGGUAGUCACUGUGGACAAGACUGGUGUCUGGUACCAAGGGAAAGGUGGGGCAGCAGACUAAAGCUGGAGUUCAGGGCAGGCUCGGGGUCUUGGUCACACACCAUCAUAUAAGGAAGAAGCUCAGAGCAGGGUUCUAAGGUGACAUGUGACAUGUUCAGGUGCUGUGUGCUAUGUUCCCUGGGCUUUCCAGGUUACACAGAAAACUUGCUGUUUGAAUGCAGAUCCUGGGGUUCCACGAAGGCACUGUGCCUUUGGUUAUACGUGAGCCUCAGUUUCCUCUUGCCAAGGAGGGUGGGGUGAGUAUCAAAUAGGCGCUGGGUCCCAUGUGUCCCUCAGGUCCAGUGCACAGCGUGGCUGCUGCUUCUCCUUAUAGACUGUGAAAUGUAAGAUACCCCAAGUCCACAUAUUGUUGGACUUUCUUUCUUCAAGUUGGUGUGGUGUUCUGAGAGCACACAUUUCUCUGCAACAGCCACGCCCCAAACUGGAAUUCCCAAGGAUGCAUCACACUGAGCAGGACGGUUCACUCAGCCCCAAGCGUGGUCGCCCAUAAAACUUGACACGGACACGGUGCCCCUGGCAGGUUUUAUUUAUAAUCUGCCUGUGAUCUGCUUCGGGAAUACAAUAUUUUCUCCCUAUAAUCUGGGAAGCUCUGCAUGCUGGAAUAAUCUCGCAGGGAAUAUUCUGAGAAGGGACCUGUCUUCCUGUAAUGAAAAGUUUUGGAAUUAUUAGUCCUAAGCAGCAUCUUUGAGAUUAUCUGUGACCUUGGCCUCCCGAUCAAAUAGCAAUUGGAAGAGCUCCUUCGACUGUCUCUCAGAGAGGCAUUUUCUAAUUAGUACUUGGAACCUUCCAGAACCAGAAGCACGCCAUUUAAGUCUUCAACGCUCAUUCCGUGGUCCUCAGAUCCUCAGAGGAGGCUCUGUGUCCGCACCGGAUCUGUCUCCUUUGAACCUACCUUUCUGGUCCCCAUUCAGUCCUGUGCAGUCCAGAGAACCUGGCAGCUCUUCUGCAGCCAGAUCUAUCUUUGAACUGCUGUAUCUCUUGUGGGUGAAAAUGUGGGGCUCUGCUUCAGAGCAAAAUUCAAAACAAUCCAGGCUCUGGCAGGCUUUCUUCUUUCCACUGGUGUUUGUACUUAGUGUUUAAUAAAUAUGGGGAGGGUCAAAAUAUGAUGUCAUUAGCACAAAUUUGAUUGAACAUAUCCGGGUUUUGUUUCUGGCCAGUGCUGGAAAGUGACUUGUGAUCGCAUGCUUCCUAAGUACGUGCUCACUAAGCUGCACCCCCCACUCCCUGUAUCAAAUUAAAAAAAAAUAAAAGUAAGGGCAUUGUGUUUGUAAA